GACGAACCGUGCGAACGUUGUUCGGAAUCACUGGGCUUAAAGGGCGCGUAGGCGGGCUGCCGCGUCCGGGGUGAAAUCCCACGGCUCAACCGUGGAACGGCCUCGGAUACGGGCGGCCUCGAGGGGGGUAGGGGCAUCUGGAACUGUGAGUGGAGCGGUGAAAUGCGUUGAUAUUCACAGGAACGUCCGGUGGCGAAGGCGAGGUGCUGGACCCCUUCUGACGCUGAGGCGCGAAAGCCAGGGGAGCGAACGGG
This 254-nucleotide ribosomal RNA is filed under the name uncultured bacterium. Its description in RNAcentral is "partial 16S ribosomal RNA". It matches the Rfam family "Bacterial small subunit ribosomal RNA", at positions 524 to 776 of the family's 1533-position model. The record is from RNAcentral.